This 490-nucleotide ribosomal RNA is filed under the name uncultured bacterium. RNAcentral describes it as "partial 16S ribosomal RNA". It matches the Rfam family "Bacterial small subunit ribosomal RNA", at positions 30 to 507 of the family's 1533-position model. The record is from RNAcentral.
AUUGAACGCUGGCGGCAGGCCUAACACAUGCAAGUCGAACGGUAACAGGAAGAAGCUUGCUUCUUUGCUGACGAGUGGCGGACGGGUGAGUAAUGUCUGGGAAACUGCCUGAUGGAGGGGGAUAACUACUGGAAACGGUAGCUAAUACCGCAUAACGUCGCAAGACCAAAAAGGGGGACCUUCGGGCCUCUUGCCAUCGGAUGUGCCCAGAUGGGAUUAGCUAGUAGGUGGGGUAACGGCUCACCUAGGCGACGAUCCCUAGCUGGUCUGAGAGGAUGACCAGCCACACUGGAACUGAGACACGGUCCAGACUCCUACGGGAGGCAGCAGUGGGGAAUAUUGCACAAUGGGCGCAAGCCUGAUGCAGCCGUGCCGCGUGUAUGAAGAAGGCCUUCGGGUUGUAAAGUACUUUCAGCGGGGAGGAAGGGAGUAAAGUUAAUACCUUUGCUCAUUGACGUUACCCGCAGAAGAAGCACCGGCUAACUCCGUG